Molecule: ribosomal RNA, 515 nt
Filed under: uncultured bacterium
Lineage: Bacteria
Description: partial 16S ribosomal RNA
Rfam family: Bacterial small subunit ribosomal RNA
Source: RNAcentral
AUUGAACGCUGGCGGCAUGCCUAACACAUGCAAGUCGAACGGCAGCACGGUACGUAGUAAUACGUAAUGGGUGGCGAGUGGCGGACGGGUGAGUAGGGCAUAGGAAUCUGCCGAUGAGAGUGGGAUAACUGAGGGAAACUUCAGCUAAUACCGCAUAAAGUCUACGGACCAAAGGGAGGGGAUCUCUGCAAGGGGACCUUUCGCUGAUUGAGGAGCCUAUGUCGGAUUAGCUAGUUGGUGGGGUAAAGGCCUACCAAGGCGAUGAUCCGUAGCUGGUCUGAGAGGAUGGCCAGCCACACUGGGACUGAGACACGGCCCAGACUCCUACGGGAGGCAGCAGUGGGGAAUAUUGGACAAUGGGGGCAACCCUGAUCCAGCAAUGCCGCGUGAGUGAAGAAGGCCUUCGGGUUGUAAAGCUCUUUAGUGGGGGAGGAAGCGCACGCAUGAAUAGUGGGUGUGGUUGACGGUACCCCAUGAAUAAGCACCGGCUAACUCUGUGCCAGCCGCCGCAGUAA